RNAcentral lists this ribosomal RNA (421 nucleotides) under Heterosigma akashiwo. RNAcentral's name for it is "partial Bacterial small subunit ribosomal RNA". It matches the Rfam family "Bacterial small subunit ribosomal RNA", at positions 377 to 790 of the family's 1533-position model. Lineage: Eukaryota; Raphidophyceae; Chattonellales; Chattonellaceae. The record is from RNAcentral.
GAAACUCUGAUGCAGCCAUGCCGCGUGUGUGAAGAAGGCCUUCGGGUUGUAAAGCACUUUCAGUUGUGAGGAAAGGUUAGUAGUUAAUACCUGCUAGCUGUGACGUUAACAACAGAAGAAGCACCGGCUAACUCCGUGCCAGCAGCCGCGGUAAUACGGAGGGAGCUAGCGUUGUUCGGAAUUACUGGGCGUAAAGCGCGCGUAGGCGGUUUGUUAAGUCGGAUGUGAAAGCCCCGGGCUCAACCUGGGAACUGCACUUGUGACUGCAUGACUAGAGUGCGUCAGAGGGAGGUGGAAUUCCGCGUGUAGCAGUGAAAUGCGUAGAGAUGCGGAGGAACACCGAUGGCGAAGGCAGCCUCCUGGGAUGACACUGACGCUCAUGCACGAAAGCGUGGGGAGCAAACAGGAUUAGAUACCCUGG